UGCAUGACGCAGUCAAAUUGG
This 21-nucleotide unclassified non-coding RNA is filed under the name Mus musculus (house mouse). RNAcentral describes it as "oocyte_clustered_small_RNA828". The record is from RNAcentral. Lineage: Eukaryota; Metazoa; Chordata; Mammalia; Rodentia; Muridae.